UGGGGAAUAUUGCACAAUGGGCGGAAGCCUGAUGCAGCGACGCCGCGUGAGGGAUGACGGCCUUCGGGUUGUAAACCUCUUUCAGCAGGGAAGAAGCUUUCGGGUGACGGUACCUGCAGAAGAAGCGCCGGCUAACUACGUGCCAGCAGCCGCGGUAAUACGUAGGGCGCAAGCGUUGUCCGGAAUUAUUGGGCGUAAAGAGCUCGUAGGCGGCUUGUCGCGUCGGAUGUGAAAGCCCGGGGCUUAACCCCGGGUCUGCAUUCGAUACGGGCAGGCUGGAGUUCGGUAGGGGAGAUCGGAAUUCCUGGUGUAGCGGUGGAAUGCGCAGAUAUCAGGAGGAACACCGGUGGCGAAGGCGGAUCUCUGGGCCGAUACUGACGCUGAGGAGCGAAAGCGUGGGGAGCAAACAGG
Molecule: ribosomal RNA, 411 nt
Filed under: uncultured bacterium
Lineage: Bacteria
Description: bacterial SSU rRNA
Rfam family: Bacterial small subunit ribosomal RNA
Source: RNAcentral